This 919-nucleotide ribosomal RNA is filed under the name uncultured organism. Its description in RNAcentral is "bacterial SSU rRNA". It matches the Rfam family "Bacterial small subunit ribosomal RNA", at positions 1 to 917 of the family's 1533-position model. The record is from RNAcentral.
UGGAUCCAGACUUUGAUCCUGGCUCAGGAUGAACGCUGGCGGCGUGCCUAACACAUGCAAGUCGAGCGAGAAUCACAGGACGGAAUCCUUCGGGAUGAAGACUUGUGAGGAGAGCGGCGGACGGGUGAGUAACGCGUGAGUAACCUGCCCUUGAGAGGAGGAUAACACACCGAAAGGUGUGCUAAUACUGCAUAACAUACAUUAGCCGCAUGACUGAUGUAUCAAAGAUUUAUCGCUCAAGGAUGGACUCGCGUCCGAUUAGAUAGUUGGCGGGGUAACGGCCCACCAAGUCGACGAUCGGUAGCCGAACUGAGAGGUUGAUCGGCCACAUUGGGACUGAGACACGGCCCAGACUCCUACGGGAGGCAGCAGUGGGGAAUAUUGCGCAAUGGGGGAAACCCUGACGCAGCAACGCCGCGUGAAGGAUGAAGGUCUUCGGAUUGUAAACUUUUGUCUUAUGGGACGAAAAAGGACGGUACCAUAGGAGGAAGCCACGGCUAACUACGUGCCAGCAGCCGCGGUAAUACGUAGGUGGCAAGCGUUAUCCGGAUUUACUGGGUGUAAAGGGCGUGUAGGCGGGACGGCAAGUCAGAUGUGAAAUACCGAGGCUUAACUUCGGGGCUGCAUUUGAAACUACCGUUCUUGAGUGUCGGAGAGGAAAGCGGAAUUCCCAGUGUAGCGGUGAAAUGCGUAGAUAUUGGGAGGAACACCAGUGGCGAAGGCGGCUUUCUGGACGAUAACUGACGCUGAGGCGCGAAAGCGUGGGUAGCAAACAGGAUUAGAUACCCUGGUAGUCCACGCCGUAAACGAUGAGUACUAGGUGUAGGAGGUAUCGACCCCUUCUGUGCCGCAGUUAACACAAUAAGUACUCCACCUGGGAAGUACGAUCGCAAGAUUGCAACUCAAAUGAAUUGACGGA